Molecule: long non-coding RNA, 508 nt
Filed under: Panax ginseng (ginseng)
Lineage: Eukaryota; Viridiplantae; Streptophyta; Magnoliopsida; Apiales; Araliaceae
Description: long non-coding RNA (PGIN_LNC008722)
Source: RNAcentral
UUACUUAACUCUAAUAAGAGUGUUUUAUUCAAGCUUAUGGUUAAUCAUUGCUGAUUGCCAUGAAAAUUGUACUCUGUACAUCUUGCAUGUAUAAGUCAGGUAUGAAAGGCUGAUCACCUUCAUUACCGGUUUGUCCAAAAAUGUUUGUUAAUGUUUAAAACUUGUUCAGUCAAAAGUUUGUUCCUGCUAGUUCUCAAUUAUAUUGAUGAAUUAUAGCCAGCUUAUUAUUCAUACUCUUCAAUCAUGAUAUAUCCUUAUAUUGUUGUAUUUAAACUUGCUGGGCAACUUUCAUGCUCACCCUUGCUAUAUCAUGAUAAAACAUUGCAGAUAAGGCGAAUGCGGUCGGAUACAGGAAAAGGUUAAUGCCAAGUUCAGCUUGGGUUAUAAAGUGCAGCUAGUUUGUAAUAGCGUAUUGUGAUAAAUAUUGUUAUGUAAUAAAUAGUUUAUGAAAUGUGUAUAAGUUAAGGUUACUCGACCUUGGGGAAUAGUGUGUAAUGUAAUGUAUAAA